Molecule: ribosomal RNA, 503 nt
Filed under: uncultured bacterium
Lineage: Bacteria
Description: partial 16S ribosomal RNA
Rfam family: Bacterial small subunit ribosomal RNA
Source: RNAcentral
AUUGAACGCUGGCGGCAGGCUUAACACAUGCAAGUCGAGCGGGGUGAUGGUGCUUGCACUAUCACUUAGCGGCGGACGGGUGAGUAAUGCUUAGGAAUCUGCCUAUUAGUGGGGGACAACAUCUCGAAAGGGCUGCUAAUACCGCAAACGUCCUACGGGAGAAAGCAGGGGAUCACUUGUGACCUUGCGCUAAUAGAUGAGCCUAAGUCGGAUUAGCUAGUUGGUGGGGUAAAGGCCUACCAAGGCGACGAUCUGUAGCGGGUCUGAGAGGAUGAUCCGCCACACUGGGACUGAGACACGGCCCAGACUCCUACGGGAGGCAGCAGUGGGGAAUAUUGGACAAUGGGGGGAACCCUGAUCCAGCCAUGCCGCGUGUGUGAAGAAGGCCUUAUGGUUGUAAAGCACUUUAAGCGAGGAGGAGGCUCUUUUGGUUAAUACCCAAGAUGAGUGGACGUUACUCGCAGAAUAAGCACCGGCUAACUCUGUGCCAGCCGCCGCUGUAA